This 78-nucleotide transfer RNA is filed under the name Puniceicoccales bacterium. Its description in RNAcentral is "tRNA-Pro". It matches the Rfam family "tRNA". From Rfam's summary of the family: Transfer RNA (tRNA) molecules are approximately 80 nucleotides in length. The record is from RNAcentral. Lineage: Bacteria; Pseudomonadati; Verrucomicrobiota; Opitutia; Puniceicoccales.
CGGGCUGUAGCGCAGUCUGGCUAGCGCGCUUCGUUCGGGACGAAGAGGUCGGUGGUUCGAAUCCACUCAGCCCGACCA